Molecule: ribosomal RNA, 200 nt
Filed under: uncultured bacterium
Lineage: Bacteria
Description: partial 16S ribosomal RNA
Rfam family: Bacterial small subunit ribosomal RNA
Source: RNAcentral
UACGUAGGGUGCGAGCGUUUGUCCGGAAUUAUUGGGCGUAAAGAGCUCGUAGGCGGCUUGUCGCGUCGGAUGUGAAAGCCCCGGGGCUUAACUCCGGGUCUGCAUUCGAUACGGGCAGGCUAGAGUUCGGUAGGGGGAGAUCGGGAAUUCCUGGUGUAGCGGUGAAAAUGCGCAGAUAUCAGGAGGAACACCGGUGGCGA